Non-coding RNA from Meleagris gallopavo (turkey), 5613 nucleotides. The record is from RefSeq and is a predicted model, not a curated record. NCBI's taxonomy places the organism in Eukaryota, Metazoa, Chordata, Aves, Galliformes, Phasianidae.
UUGCUAAUCUCAAAGCCCAUCACUUAUAGAUUCAUGCAGUCACUCUUAAAUUCUCUGUCAGUAUUUAUUCCUGAAUCCUGCAUAUGUUUUGCACUGCUCUCCUGCAAGCUGGAAGUCCAGUUUGUAUAUGAAGAAACCUGCAAGGUGAAAUUCACAGUAAUUGUACUGGAAAAUCUGUUCUUCAAAGAUUGUAGAGAGAGGGUAGGCGAUCAGGUGCCUAUAUGUGAAGACAAAAGUCUCUGAUACUAACUUACUCCUUUAAUGUGUUUUGUACUUUGUGAGAUUUGUCUGCAGCAUUGCAUUUGCAGUACAUUUGCUUUGAAAAACUCUAUUAAUGUAAUCAACGGAAUCAGAAAUUUCCUUGGGAAUGGCAGCCUUGCCUUUGAAUUUCAUUUUCACUUUUACUUUUUGUUUUUAUUUCAGACAGAGCAAUUGUGCUGCUUUUGAACCUCCCUCAACCUCUGUCUUCAUUAAAGUCAUUUGGUCCCAAGGCUAUUCUGACGGUCCCAGAAAUUGACCUUUCCUCUAGUAUCUUUUAGAGUCUGCCAAACUAUACCUUUUCUCCUCAGUAAGAAAUGGACAUUACACUAAUGAAUAGAAGGUCUCAGCAACAGACAUCUUCCACACCAGACUGAGAAUGAAGUGUGCCUGCUUCUCCAAGCUAUUUGGUGCAAGAGAGGAUCAGAACAGCUGCAGCCAAGGCUUUUGGAUUUACACUGCAUACAGCUGUGAGUUUUUCCUUCAGUUUUAGCACUGGAUAGAUGGAUAUUCAGAAUGGAUGGAAUAUCAGCUAAAGGAAGCAUCAGAAAACUCACCUGUUGAGUCAGUGAAACAGCAUAGCCUCAAACAAAAAUAUCUUCUGUGGCUGGUACAAGGUUUUACAGACUGGUGGUGGCCUGAGAGGAGAAGAUGAAGUGAGGAGAAUGUGUUUGAAGCUAAUGAUGAGCUAAUGAUAUCACAGAUCUGAGUCAAUUAUUAAUACAAAGUUUAUCAGGACACCUGCUGUCACUGCAUGCACUGCCCUGGAGAAGCUCUUGGGCGAGCUCCCUGUGUAAGUGUGAGUAUGAUCUUCUACAACCUAGGUUAAUAUAGACUGAAGCAAUGCAAAAACUGAUGUAGAAUGAAAGGUUGUGGUACAGCUGCUUGGCAAACAAACCUUAGCCAUAGCCAGUAACAGUACAGAGUCACAAAUUAACAAUGAUCUACAUUAAGACUUACUGAUGCAGGCAUAGUACAAGUAUAGAAUUUACAAAUGGAAAGGAGAACGUGGAUUUUAAAACUAAGUAAAACAGAGCUGACAUGGCAUUUUUAUACAUAGAACUAUGAGGAGGUUUUGCUACAAAAGAAGAAAUGAGUGAAGGUCAUUCCAUGGGUUCUGAUGGGUGCUGAUGUAUAUCACUGGUGCUUGGCAUGAAGAGUUUCUUGUAGGCUGGAUUCCAGAUCCCGGCCAGCAGUGCUGUGCUGAAGACAAAUUAGUAUACCCUCAUCAUGCACAUUAAUUUUCAAAAGUCCUUUCUUGGUGUUCUGGAAUAGCAAUUUGGAAAAACCUCUCUAUCCAUUCAAUGCAAUCACAGGCUCCAUAAACAGAAAUUCCUCAAGCACUGAAAUCAAUCUGUCUGUGAUACUCCUCCCCCAUCACAGACAGAGCAGUAAAUUCUUAUUUAAUUCCAGACACUGGCCUUAGAGAACUACUUUUAGCAUCCUUACAAGUUCCAGUGUUCUCAUAUUGCAUACAAGUCAGCAACACCAGAACUUUGCAUUUCCUACCUGACUGUGGAGAAAAAGGAAUUCCUUGUCUAGCUAGUUUCUAUUACAAUUAGGUAAUAGUGUUUGUUUAACUACAGCUGUAGCUGUCUAUGGCCUUUAGCCACAGACCUUACCAGUUCCCUUUUCCUUUCCUUAGGGCCCUUAAGUCUCUUCAUCUUCUCGUGCAUACCCUGAAAGUGGUCAAUAAUUUCGUAGCCUUACAGUUCAGCCUGCCAUAAGCAACUGCCGUAUUGACAGAGACAGAAAAAUUUGCCAGACCAGGCUUAUAGUUCUCGUCCCAUACCUCAGCUGGGAGAUAGACUCAUUUUUUGAUUUAUGAAAGCCUGGACCCUGCUGCUGGUGGGAAUUUAGAAGCUGUGUGCUUAGGAGGGAAAACAGAAGGAAGUUAAAGGACACAAGAUCUCUUAAGAUAGCUCACAAUCCUUUGCUCAUGUUAUGAAAAUCAUACUAUUUUUCUUCACCUUUUCUCUGGACAGAUAGGCACACACAACUCUUAGACAGUCUGAUGGAAAACUCCCAAAUUCUUAAGGCAAUAGGCAAGCUUGUCUUGAGCAGCAUCAGAUUAAUCUGUCCCAAAUAAAAUAGAAAGGAAACCCACGUGUUUUAAAAAGGAAUUUUAGCUGCCAGCCCCCUAAUUAUGUUUACAUGUUUCUCUGCCCAAAACGCAAGUCAUGGUACACUGGUGAAACAGGAAACUUUCACAUUCCAGAGGAUCCAGACAUCACAGAAACCACCGUGAAAAGUUCAUGCUGUCGGUCAGCUCGUCCCAUGUGGCUUCAGCCAGGCACUGUGCGCCUGGGAAUUGGGGAACUUAUGGUCAGAGCAGCGUGGGCAGGCACUGUAGAAAGUGUGGGACUGGGCAGGCAAGAAACAAGGUGGUGUUAAAACCAUUAACUGUCUGAUAUGAACUUGCUCACUGUUAGCUCAGAGCAUUAGUUAAGUAAUUCCCACUUCAGGUGAUUUUCAGUUGUCAGAAAGCUUUUAUUAGAGAUACAGUGCAGUUCUCUGCUUGGCUCAUUUUUCUGACACAGCAACAUUCUUUUCAGAGACUUAAAAAUGACAGAAUUGAAUUCCUAUAUGAUGAACAUAAGCUCUUCAUGGUUAUAAUAUUUAUUUUAUUUUUCAGGCUUAACCACCAUCAUAUUUAGUGUCCAGCCUUCUUAAUUCUAGAAAAUUCAUCAAAUGGAGGGUUUAAACUAGAUAGGAGCCAGAAUCAGAAACCUGGAUCCUCACCAAUACUCUGACCUUGGGCACAUUACAGUGGUUUUCCAAGCGUUUCAGUGGAGCCACUUCUGUAUCCCAGACCAAACCCAAACCAUUGAUCUAGGCACACUGAAACUUUGCAAAGUGAUUCAGUAUCAGAUCUAAAAAACACAGUUUUAGUUUGUAAAGAAUUGAAACCAAGUUUGUAAUUACAAAAUGAUGACUUUAGAUGACUGCAUUUUGAGAUGUUGGAACCCAGAUAAAUUUAAGGAUUGUUAUUUUUUUUAACGUGGGUGCUUGAAACAUUUUGAAUACCUUAGUUUUCUUGGGAAAUUUACACCUUAAAUUCUUAUCACUGUUUAAAAGUCUCUUCCUCCACAGAACUGUUUAAUGGUAGGCAGGACGUACUUGGAAUUGUUUCACAGAGAAUUAAUGAAUUUAAUAACAGGGGAAAAAACAAAACAAAACAAAACAAAAAAAAAAAAACAAAAAAAGAAGCUGAUUCUAUACACAUGAACUCAUCUAGCACAUUUUAAUGUAUUUGAAAACCUAACCCAGUGUGCACAAUUCUAUGUUUCUGCUUCACAACCUUACCAGCAAUACAAUGUGCAUCAGUUACUCAGAGAUGUCAACUAAAAUUUUAUGUUUUAAUAUCUGCUAAAGAAAUCCUAUAAGCACAUUCCAGCACCACAAGAAGCUGAGUCUUUGGCUUGCAGACCAAAUGGUGGCCAGGUAAAAACAAGUUAUUUAAUAUUUUGGGUAAAAAAAGUUAAUUUAGCCCCCCCUACCAUUUAGCAAGCUGAGCAAUGUGAAGUUAAUGUCCCUCUGUAAGGCUCUCUGGUUUAAUGAUACUAUAGCAGUUAAAUGUGGCCAGUGAAAGGUUUUGUUCUGAUUUGCACCUUCUGGAGUACAGCACUGAUGACAAGGAAAUUACCAUUAUGUAAAUGGAAACAGAAGUGAAGCUCAAAGUAAAGUCCAUCUUACAGAUAAACCAGUUUUAUUACUUAUUUAAUAUUGAAUAUGUUAACCAUUACACUUCAAGCUAAAUUUCUCGUCCAUGAAGGUCUGUGAUAGCCUUCAGCAGAGCAGUGUGUACUUAUUCCCAAAAACCCUUAAAAUAACACUAAGACAUUUGCUAUAACACCCUUGUUGUUUACUGGACUUUCUCUGUCAAUAACUGUGCUUUUUGUAUGAACACAAAACAUACGUUUUUCAUUUCCUUAGAAUAGUAAGAAAUCUUUUUACAGAAACUGAUGCCUAAGCAAAUUACAGAUCAGUAAUAUUUCCAUUAAGAGAUCUUACUUUUCCAAUGUUGAGUACUUUGGGUGGUGUGUUAAGAAGUCCAAAGACAUGAAGUGAAAAUUGUUCUUGAGGCCACAGAAGCAUUUUAGAUUUUUCCAGUGAGGCCCAUAUCCAGGUCACUGAAAUAUGUUUAUUUUUUCUUUUUCUAUUCAUAAGUUAUAGGGAUAGGGAAGAGCUACAGAUUUCUUUAUAAAGAAUGCUGUCUAAAUGGGAGAAGAACAAUUUUCACAGGAUUUACAUUUUGCCUUACUGGGGAGAAACUGGCAUACUUAUUCCCCGGGUCGUAAAUGACCUGGCUGAUGUGGUUGCUGAGCCACACUCCAUCAUAUUUGAAAAGUUGUGGCUGUUGGGAGAAGUCAUUGAGGACUUCAAAAAAGAAACAUCACUCCCAUUUACAAGAAAGGGAGGAAGGAGGGCUAGGGAACUACAGGCCAGUGAGUCUUACAUCUGUGCCUGGGAAGAUCAUGGAACAGAUCCUCCUAGAAGACAUGUUAAGGCACAUGAGGGUUGAGCAAGUGAUCCAAGUCAGCCAGCAUGGUUUUACCAAGGGAAGGUCUUGCCUGAUCAGUCCGGUGGCCUUCUAUGAUGGAGUGAUAACAAUGGUAGACAAAGGGAAGGCAACUGAUGUCAUCUACCUGACUUAUGCUAGGCCUUUGACAUGGUCCCCCACCACACCCUUGUCUCUAAAUUGGAAAGAUACAGAUUUGAGGGGUGGAUUAUAUGGUGGAUAAAGAAUUGGUUGGAAAGCCAUAGACAGACAGUUCUGUUGAAUGGCACUAUGUCCAGGCUGAGACUUGGCAACAAGCAGUGUCCCCAGGGGUCUGUCUUGGGACCAGUCCUCUCCAACAUCUUCAUCAAUGACAGAUGAUGGGCUUGAGUGCAUCCUCAGCAAGUUUGCCAAUGACACCAAGCUGAGUGGUCUGUCUGACACAUUAAAAGGAAGCAGUGCCAUCCAGAGGGACCUCAACAAACUCUAAAGGUGGGCCCAUGUGAACAUAUGGUUUUGCAAUUGGGUUGGAGUAACCCCAGGUACAUAUACAGUCUAGGAGAAGAACUCCUUGAGAGUAACCCUGCGGAGAAGGACCUGGAGGUCCUGGUGGAUGAAAAACUGAACAUGAGCCAGCAGUGUACUCUUGCUGCUCUGAAUGGUAUCCUGGGCUGCAUCAGAAGAGGGAUGACCAGCAGGGACGGGGAAGUGACUGUCCCUCUCUUCUUUUACCUCGUGAGGCCCCAUCUGGACUACUGUGUCCAGAUCUGGAGCCCCACGUACAGGAAAGAUAUGGGACUGUUGGAGAGAGUCCAGAGGAGGGCCACAAAGAUGAUCAAAGGGCUGGAGCACCU